AGCAGCCGCGGUAAUUCCAGCUCCAAUAGCGUAUAUUAAAGUUGUUGCAGUUAAAAAGCUCGUAGUUGAAUUUCGGGGUUAGUAGGUUGGUCAUGCCUCUGGUAUGUACUGGUCUCACUGAUUCCUCCUUCCUGAUGAACCUUAAUGCCAUUUAUUUGGUGUUUUGGGGAAUUUGGACUGUUACUUUGAAAAAUUAGAGUGUUUAAAGCAAGCUAACGCUUGAAUACAUUAGCAUGGAAUAAUGAAAUAGGACGUUCGAUCCUAUUUUGUUGGUUUCUAGGAUUGACGUAAUGAUUAAUAGGGAUAGUUGGGGGCAUUAGUAUUCAAUUGUCAGAGGUGAAAUUCUUGGAUUUAUUGAAGACUAACUACUGCGAAAGCAUCUGCCAAGGAUGUUUUCAUUAAUCAAGACGAAAGUUGGGGGAUCGAAGACGAUCAGAUACCGUCGUAGUCUUAACCAUAAACUAUGCCGACUAGGGAUCGGAUGAUGUAAUUUUUAAUGUACUUCA
Molecule: ribosomal RNA, 506 nt
Filed under: uncultured Glomeraceae
Lineage: Eukaryota; Fungi; Glomeromycota; Glomeromycetes; Glomerales; Glomeraceae
Description: SSU rRNA
Rfam family: Eukaryotic small subunit ribosomal RNA
Source: RNAcentral